This 1885-nucleotide ribosomal RNA is filed under the name Clostridioides difficile. RNAcentral's name for it is "partial 23S ribosomal RNA". It matches the Rfam family "Bacterial large subunit ribosomal RNA", at positions 326 to 2231 of the family's 2925-position model. Lineage: Bacteria; Bacillati; Bacillota; Clostridia; Peptostreptococcales; Peptostreptococcaceae. The record is from RNAcentral.
AUCGUAAUUGAAGAGGUUUGGAAAGACCCACCACAGAAGGUAAUAGUCCUGUAUGUUAAACGAGAAGACUUCAGAUAUGAUCCAGAGUACCACGGGACACGUGAAACCCUGUGGGAAGCAGGAGGGACCACCCUCCAAGGCUAAAUACUACCUAGUGACCGAUAGCGUAUAGUACCGUGAGGGAAAGGUGAAAAGAACCCCGGGAGGGGAGUGAAAUAGAACCUGAAACCCUGCACUUACAAGCUGUGGAAGCACAUUUCUUGUGUGACCGCGUACUUUUUGUAGAACGGGCCAACGAGUUACGUUAAGUAGCAAGGUUAAGCACUUAAGGUGCGGAGCCGUAGCGAAAGCGAGUUUUAACUGAGCGUUCAGUUACUUGACGUAGACCCGAAACCGGGCGACCUACCCAUGAGCAGGAUGAAGCGAAAGUAAAAUUUCGUGGAGGUCCGAACCCACGAGCGUUGAAAAGCUCGGGGAUGACUUGUGGGUAGCGGUGAAAUUCCAAUCGAGCCCGGAGAUAGCUGGUUCUCCCCGAAAUAGCUUUAGGGCUAGCCUCAAGGUGAGAGAUACGGAGGUAGAGCACUGAAUGUCCUAGGGGGUAUUGCACCUACCGAAGACUAUCAAACUCCGAAUGCCGUCAUCUUAUACUUGGGAGUCAGACUGUGGGUGAUAAGAUUCAUAGUCGAAAGGGCAACAGCCCAGAUCGUCAGCUAAGGUCCCUAAAUGUAAGUUAAGUGGUAAAGGAUGUGGGAUUGCACAGACAACCAGGAUGUUGGCUUAGAAGCAGCCACUCAUUCAAAGAGUGCGUAAUAGCUCACUGGUCGAGUGAUCCUGCGCCGAAGAUUUCCGGGGCUAAAACUUACUACCGAAGCUACGGCAUCAGUAAUGAUGGGUAGGGGAGCUUCCCAUACGGGUUGAAGCAUGACCGUAAGGACAUGUGGACAGUAUGGGAGUGAGAAUGUUGGCAUGAGUAGCGAGAUGUGGGUGAGAAUCCCACAGGCCGUAAACCCAAGGUUUCCAGGGGAAGGUUCGUCCGCCCUGGGUUAGUCGGGACCUAAGCUGAGGCCGAAAGGCGUAGGUGAUGGACAACAGGUUGAUAUUCCUGUACUACCGAUAACCGUUUGAGAGAAGGGAUGACACAGUAGGAUAAGCUAAGCACACUGUUGGUUAUGUGUGCCCAAGCAUUGAGGCAGUCAAAGUAGGCAAAUCCGCUUUGAUAAUGCUGGGAUGUGAUGGGGAGCGAAAUUUAGUAGCGAAGUAGCUGAUUUCACACUGUCAAGAAAAGUCUCUAUCGAGGUUAAAGGUACCCGUACCGCAAACCGACACAGGUGGGUGAGGAGAGUAUCCUAAGGCCAGCGAGAGAACUGUUGUUAAGGAACUCGGCAAAAUGACCCCGUAACUUAGGGAUAAGGGGUGCCACCAUCAGGUGGCCGCAGAGAAUAGGCCCAAGCGACUGUUUACCAAAAACAUAGGUUUCUGCUAAGUCGCAAGACGAUGUAUAGGAGCUGACGCCUGCCCGGUGCUGGAAGGUUAAGGGGAUCUGUUAGAGCAAUCGAAGCAGUGAACUUAAGCCCCAGUAAACGGCGGCCGUAACUAUAACGGUCCUAAGGUAGCGAAAUUCCUUGUCGGGUAAGUUCCGACCCGCACGAAAGGCGUAACGAUUUGGGCACUGUCUCAACAACAGACUCGGUGAAAUUGUAAUUCCGGUGAAGAUGCCGGAUACCUGCGACAGGACGGAAAGACCCCAUGGAGCUUUACUGUAGCUUGACAUUGGGUCUUGGUACUACAUGUACAGGAUAGGUGGGAGGCUUUGAAACCAGGACGCCAGUUUUGGCGGAGCCAUCCUUGGGAUACCACCCUUGUAGUACUGGGACUCUAACCAUAG